Molecule: long non-coding RNA, 999 nt
Organism: Dreissena polymorpha
Lineage: Eukaryota; Metazoa; Mollusca; Bivalvia; Myida; Dreissenidae
Exons: 3
Source: RefSeq, a predicted model, not a curated record
UGCACUAAAACUUAAUUCACGUCGUAAAUCGAAUUAUUUCUAUCGUCAGUUGUGAAAACGAAAGUACGGUUGAUAUUCAAAUGCAUAAUGUUUCUCUUUCUGAAAUAUUGUUUUAGUAUGUUGAUGCUGCAUUUACAAAUAUAAGUGUAUAUGAAGUGAAAACACCAAAAAUAAACAACUGUUGCGAUUGACACCUAUAAACUGUUAGAUGCCCAUAAUAUCACUUUAGCGGUUUCCCCGAAAGACAGGCCUUCGCUGCGAAGUCAAAGUGGAUGGGGAACGCGACCGCUUGUGGAUUUCAAGUUGCUGGAACUUUCUAAGAAAGCUGCUUUUGUGCAAUAUUCAGCGAUUGUGCAAGCUGUGUGUUUGAAGUCGGAGAUAUAUAUUGCUGAUAUUAAUGAUGUUGUACACACGUACGUUCUUGUGACGAAUGAUCUGCAUCCUAUCAGUGGGAGAGCAUUCAGAAUCCCACAUUAUCUGCACCAUAUGGUUCCUCAACUGGUCGAGUGGUUGAAAGUUGCAACCACACAUUGCGAUGGGUCAUGAUCAUUCCCCCAAGUUUAUGGCAAUACAGUUCCAAAUUUAUCAGUUUAACUGGUCUCAGUCUUUCUCUACCCCUCAAAGAAUUCAAGAUAUACCCCCUCUGCAUUCCGGCACAGCUUCAAAUCAACCCAUCUAAUUACUUGUUUGGAAAGGUGAACUAGACUACCAAACUACCAGUGCACAUAAACUUUUUUUCUCUUUUGCUAGAGAUGUGGACACAACACCACUUUUAUGUACAAUUUUCAUUUCAGACACUUAAAAAUUGAAUAGUUCAUGUAUUAUUCGAUAUCAUAUGGCAGGUAUUGACUAAGAAAGAAUCUUUAUUAUUUAGAAUUUUUCUUAAAAAUUGACUUGUUCAUGUGUUAUAAGUAAUGGCAGGUAUUGACUAUUCAGAAAGCAUCUUUAUUAUUUAAAAUGUUUCUUUGUCGACAUUAAUGUAUUGUGUAUGAUAUUCAC